AUUGAACGCUGGCGGCAGGCUUAACACAUGCAAGUCGAGCGGGGUGAUGGUGCUUGCACUAUCACUUAGCGGCGGACGGGUGAGUAGUGCUUAGGAAUCUGCCUAUUAGUGGGGGACAACAUCUCGAAAGGGAUGCUAAUACCGCAUACGUCCUACGGGAGAAAGCAGGGGAUCUUCGGACCUUGCGCUAAUAGAUGAGCCUAAGUCAGAUUAGCUAGUUGGUGGGGUAAAGGCCUACCAAGGCGACGAUCUGUAGCGGGUCUGAGAGGAUGAUCCGCGACACUGGGACUGAGACACGGCCCAGACUCCUACGGGAGGCAGCAGUGGGGAAUAUUGGACAAUGGGCGAAAGCCUGAUCCAGCCAUGCCGCGUGUGUGAAGAAGGCCUUUUGGUUGUAAAGCACUUUAAGCGAGGAGGAGGCUACUUGGAUUAAUACUCUAGGAUAGUGGACGUUACUCGCAGAAUAAGCACCGGCUAACUUCGUGCCAGCCGCCGCCGUAA
This 501-nucleotide ribosomal RNA is filed under the name uncultured bacterium. RNAcentral's name for it is "partial 16S ribosomal RNA". It matches the Rfam family "Bacterial small subunit ribosomal RNA", at positions 30 to 523 of the family's 1533-position model. The record is from RNAcentral.